RNAcentral lists this ribosomal RNA (471 nucleotides) under Bhargavaea cecembensis. RNAcentral describes it as "bacterial SSU rRNA". It matches the Rfam family "Bacterial small subunit ribosomal RNA", at positions 20 to 475 of the family's 1533-position model. Lineage: Bacteria; Bacillati; Bacillota; Bacilli; Caryophanales; Caryophanaceae. The record is from RNAcentral.
UGGCUCAGGACGAACGCUGGCGGCGUGCCUAAUACAUGCAAGUCGAGCGGAUGACGAGGAGCUUGCUCCUCUGAUUCAGCGGCGGACGGGUGAGUAACACGUGGGCAACCUGCCUGCAAGAUCGGGAUAACUCCGGGAAACCGGGGCUAAUACCGGAUGGUUCCUUCCUCCGCAUGGAGGAAGGCGGAAAGACGGUUUCGGCUGUCACUUGCAGAUGGGCCCGCGGCGCAUUAGCUAGUUGGUGGGGUAAUGGCCCACCAAGGCGACGAUGCGUAGCCGACCUGAGAGGGUGAUCGGCCACACUGGGACUGAGACACGGCCCAGACUCCUACGGGAGGCAGCAGUAGGGAAUCUUCCGCAAUGGACGAAAGUCUGACGGAGCAACGCCGCGUGAGCGAAGAAGGCCUUCGGGUCGUAAAGCUCUGUUGUAAGGGAAGAACAAGCAUCGGUUAACUGCCGGUGCCCUGACGG